UCAUAAAGAAACUGAUAAAAAACAUACAGGUGUUGAAUCAAGGUGACUUACAAAGAUGAGGACCAAAAGCCAGAGUGGGAGUGUGGUGAUAUAGUGUCCACAACUAAAGAAGAGAGGGAGUGUGGUGAUGUAGUGUCCACAACUAAUGAAGAGAUGUAGUGUGGUGAUGUAUUGUCCACAACUAAAGAAGAGAGGGAGUGUGGUGAUGUAGUGUCCACAACUAAUGAAGAGAGAGAGAGUGUGGUGAUGUAGUGGUGAUGUAGUGGUGAUGUAGUGUCCACAACUAAAGAAGAGAGGGAGUGGAGUGAUGUAGUGUCCACAACUAAAGAAGAGAGGGAGUGUGGUGAUGUAGUGUCCACAACUAAAGAAGAGAGGGAGUGUGGUGAUAUAGUGUCCACAACUAAAGAAGAGAGGGAGUGUGGUGAUGUAGUGUGGUGAUGUAGUGUCCACAACUAAAGAAGAGAGGGAGUGUGGUGAUGUAGUGUCCACAACUAAAGAAGAGAGGGAGUGUGGUGAUGUAGUGUCCACUACUAAAGAAGAGAGGGAGUGUGGUGAUGUAGUGUCCACUACUAAAGAAGAGAGGGAGUGUGGUGAUGUAGUGUGGUGAUGUAGUGUCCACAACUAAAGAAGAG
Oncorhynchus tshawytscha (Chinook salmon) is the source of this 632-nucleotide long non-coding RNA. NCBI's taxonomy places the organism in Eukaryota, Metazoa, Chordata, Actinopteri, Salmoniformes, Salmonidae. The record is from Ensembl.